This 495-nucleotide ribosomal RNA is filed under the name uncultured bacterium. RNAcentral describes it as "bacterial SSU rRNA". It matches the Rfam family "Bacterial small subunit ribosomal RNA", at positions 8 to 518 of the family's 1533-position model. The record is from RNAcentral.
AGAGUUUGAUUAUGGCUCGAGGACGAACGCUGGCGGCGUGCUUAACACAUGCAAGUCGAGCGAUGAAGCUUCUUCGGAAGUGGAUUAGCGGCGGACGGGUGAGUAACACGUGGGUAACCUGCCUCAUAGAGGGGAAUAGCCUUCCGAAAGGAAGAUUAAUACCGCAUAAGAUUGUAAUAUCGCAUGAUAUAGCAAUUAAAGGAGCAAUCCGCUAUGAGAUGGACCCGCGUCGCAUUAGCUAGUUGGUGAGGUAACGGCUCACCAAGGCGACGAUGCGUAGCCGACCUGAGAGGGUGAUCGGCCACAUUGGGACUGAGACACGGCCCAGACUCCUACGGGAGGCAGCAGUGGGGAAUAUUGCACAAUGGGGGAAACCCUGAUGCAAGCAACGCCGCGUGAGUGAUGACGGUCUUCGGAUUGUAAAGCUCUGUCUUCAGGGACGAUAAUGACGGUACCUGAGGAGGAAGCCACGGCUAACUACGUGCCAGCCGCGGC